AGCUCAACUGGAUAGAGCGUCGGGCUUCGAACCCGAAGGUUGGGGGGGUGAACGCCAAACCAUCCGAAGCAUGUCGCCCGCUUCAUCAGCACCA
Molecule: transfer RNA, 94 nt
Filed under: Sphingomonas glaciei
Lineage: Bacteria; Pseudomonadati; Pseudomonadota; Alphaproteobacteria; Sphingomonadales; Sphingomonadaceae
Description: Sphingomonas sp. S8-45 tRNA-Arg
Source: RNAcentral